GGGAGCGUAGCUCAGAUGGUAAAGCGCUCGCUUUGCAUGCGAGAGAAACACGGAUAGAUGCCUGUGCCUCCA
This is a non-coding RNA of Trichonephila clavipes, 72 nucleotides long. The record is from the annotation of a GenBank genome assembly. Lineage: Eukaryota; Metazoa; Arthropoda; Arachnida; Araneae; Nephilidae.